RNAcentral lists this ribosomal RNA (158 nucleotides) under Komagataea qinlingensis. RNAcentral's name for it is "[Candida] qinlingensis 5.8S ribosomal RNA". It matches the Rfam family "5.8S ribosomal RNA". From Rfam's summary of the family: 5.8S ribosomal RNA (5.8S rRNA) is a component of the large subunit of the eukaryotic ribosome. It is transcribed by RNA polymerase I as part of the 45S precursor that also contains 18S and 28S rRNA. Lineage: Eukaryota; Fungi; Ascomycota; Saccharomycetes; Phaffomycetales; Wickerhamomycetaceae. The record is from RNAcentral.
AAACUUUCAACAACGGAUCUCUUGGUUCUCGCAACGAUGAAGAACGCAGCGAAUUGCGAUACGUAUUGUGAAUUGCAGAUUUUCGUGAAUCAUCGAAUCUUUGAACGCACAUUGCGCCCUGUGGUAUUCCACAGGGCAUGCCUGUUUGAGCGUCAUUU